UACAGGUGGACCCCAUGUGUCAUUUCCUCCACUCUUCCCUCUCCACAACCGUCUCCAAUUAGUGCAUGCUGCACGAUCAGAGAAACCGGCAUCUCCCCCACGUUGCUUGGCCUCUCGCCUUAGGCCCUGUAGCACUACCCCGCCAACCCUCCAGGGAACGCACUCGCUUCUGCUCAUCCAACACCCUUCUCCUAGGCGGUCCUGCAUCCCCCAUAUGGCGCUUUUCCCCUUUGUCCUUGGUCAGCGGCGGUGCUGCAGACCGGUGCAAUACUCGCAUCCUCGACGCUCGCCAAGUGCUUGAUGAAAGGCCAGCAAGCUCUGCUCCCUUUCCCGCGAUCCUCGGUCAGCGCUUCCUCUCUCCUCCAUGAUUGAGUGCGUCCGUGUUGCAGCCUCGACGUCGUCCGCCUCCUGGUGCCCCAUUGCGGCCGUGACGUUCACUGUCCGCAUCCGCGUUUCGCCGUUCGUCGUUGGCUCGCCUCGCCGUCGCUUCGCGUCAUGCGCGCAGCACGUUGUCGUGCCUCGCCACUAGCUUGUUUGGCCGUCUGCCGUCGUUGCAAGACUGCGAUCUAUUUCCGAGCUUCGAAGAAUCGACAGUCAAGCUUGGCGACCAACGGAUCGAACUCUUCGAGUUCUACGAGGCUGAAGAUCCUGAGCAUCUGUUUGGUGAAGGCAAGUGUCCUCUGACCCAUUAUGUCCCAUUUACUUUAUAAUACACUAUCCCGCAUACUAUGAACAACCUAAGGAUUUACUAGCUUUCUAUUUACCUUGUCCUUGAUUUACCCUUUUGGGUUACUAUGGUUAGCUAUAUGCUAGCGCUUUACUUUAAUCAAUGAACAUGAUGAGAUACAAUGAUGAUACUAUGAUUUUAUUCUGGAUAUGAUGAUAUACUUGUGGCAUUUAGGGGACUCGAGCAGUUUCUCGAGUGCCUCUCCGUAAGGACCUGUUCGUUGAGAGACCACCCGGGAUAACAGUGCAACCAUGAGGGUGAAAUGGGAGGCCCUUAGCUAAUUAAUUAGAGGAACUAGAGGUGUAGUUGCUUCGCCGUCGUGCCGUCAAUGGGGUCCAGGCACAGUGCUUGCUCUGCCGAGGCUGGGUGCCGAGGUUCUUUCGUUUUGCUUUUGUUAGUCACCCCCUUCGGGGAGAGGUACUGUGUUUAUCAAACUGGAGAAACCUAACGGGCGGCUAGGACCUCUAGGGAAUCUUUGUAAAAACUACGUAGUGAUACCCUGCCGGACCACCUAGGAAGUGAUCAAUGGGGAGUCAUGAUCCCCGGGCAAAACGGGAAUCACGGCUCAUGGGUAAAGUGUGCGACCUCUACAGAGGGUAAUGAAACUGAUAUAUCAGACGUGCUCACGGUUAUGAGCGGCCUUGGGAUCCUCUUUGAUUAGAGAUACAGAUGAUCUUAGAUACAAUGGUUCUAUUUAUGGUUUUGGUUCGAUGAUAAUAAUGAUGUUCCUCGAUGAGGAAAUGAUUCACGGGUUGGUUAUUACUAAAACUUGGCUUCCACUAAUAAUAAAUACUUGACCAACUAAAAGAAACUGCUUUGACCUUAACCCCACAUAAAGCUAGUCCACCUCAGCCAAACGGGACAUUUGCUGAGUACGUUGAUGUGUACUCACCCUUGCUUUCACAAAACACCAGGUUGCCUUUGGUGCAAUCUAUGCUCAGGUAAAGAAGAAGGCGUCGAGGCGGAUCUCCAGGAGUUCCAGGGCUUCGGCGAGUUCGAGGAUUAGGCUAGUGACCUCCCCCAGUCAGCUGCCUGUGGUGGGUUUAUUUAUGUUGGCUACGUUUCUACUCUGUGUACUUUGAUUAUAUUAUGUAAAUGACUCUAGUCUGUAAUAUUAUUACUUACUAUUUAUUGUAAUUUGAAGCAUUGUGCUAUGAUGAGUCAUUUAUGUAAUCGCUGUGUACGUGAAUUUCUGAUCCUAGCACGUACAUGGUUCGCAUUCGGUUUACCUUCUAAAACCGGGUGUGACAUAAGUGGUAUCAAAGCCAUGCUGACUGUAGGACCGCUAGCCUAGAGUAGCAUUGGCCGUUUUAAGGACUUAUUGACUGUUACUUCACCUCAUCCUUGAUUCUGCUUCAAAAUAUUAGUCAUCUCGACUAAUUCUAUGUUGUGCUCCUAUAUGCCCCUUUUCCAAAAGUAUUUUAUUCUAGUAUGGUAUAUACUUCUCUCAAUCUAUUAGAACUGAUCUCACUCUUGUGCUUGCGACAUCUUUGUAGAUGGCCCCUGGCCAUAACCUUCUUGUCUUUUGGAAUUCUUUCCUCUUUCGUCAUUAAAUUGUUAUCAUUUGGCAAACUCUAGUCCUUUGGUAUUGACAUACUCAAAUCCCUGAAUUCUUCAAUUCUCUUGUUUCAAAUACUUGCCUCUAAAUUUUUAUUGCCUACUUAAACAUUUCAGUUUAUAUGACCAUGACCUUCCUGUCUUCUGAGACCCUUUCUUGUUCCAUUGUUAGGUCAUUAUCUUUCAACAAUUUCUAUUCCAUUGGUUUUAGUAUACUCGUGUCCUUAGAGUCUUGCAUACUCUCGUAUUUUUUUAUGUAUGCUUAUCUUCAUACCCGAAUAUUUGUUUAAGACAUUUCAACUUACAUGAUCUUGACCACCCUUGUUUCUUAAUGAUCCUUGAGCGGUCAUUUUACUUUGCAUAUCCUUGGUGAUCUCGUUGUCUCCUUGUAACUCCACUUGGUAAUUAAUUUUCUUUACUUCAACCAUUUUGUUGAACCUUACCUAUCUUACCCUUGCUUGUUUUCUCCACUUUGUCAGUCUUGCCUUAACUCUGUCCAUGGUUAUGCUUUUCAUCAUUAUCACCUUUACCCUUAUCACCUCUAUAUCUUACCUUGACGUUUAUCUUAUACCUGCCCUUUAAAAUCUUGUCUCUCCCAUCUCAAUCUGAGAGUUGUACAUUUUACCUAUUUUCCCUUUGGGUGUAUCCUCUUCUUUGUCACCUGCGAGUUUUUAACUCUAUCCUUUGUUGUGUUUUUGUUUGUUAUUUCCUUUAUCCUUCUCACCACUCUAUCUUGCCUUGUGAUUGCAUUAUGUCUGUUAUCUAAAAUCUCCAGUCUCCAAUCUCAAUUUGAGAGUGGUGUUUUACUUACCUCACCCUUGGCUAUAUCCUAUUCUUUACCUCGUGUAAGCUUGGACGUAACUCCAUUCUUUGUUGUACUCAUACCACUGGCUCUCCAAUGCCUUCAUCUUUUCUCUCAUACCCUUGUCUGUUGUCGCCUUUGACCCAUGCGAUAUUGAGGCCUUCUACAUAAAUGUUUACUUUGAACUUAUCCUUUAAAAGUCUCCCCUUUCUUUCAACCCAGUUUGAGGGAUGUGAGUUACCUAACUCUCCCCUGAUUUCUUUUCACUCCUUGCCUCCUUACAAGUUUUGGUCUUAAUUCCAUCCUUUGUUGUGUGUUUUAUUUGCUAUCACCAUCUCCUUGUCAUCCAUCGAUCUUGCCUUGAUACUCAUCUUUAUUCUGGCUCCUUAAAAAUCUCCUAUCUUCCAACUCCAUUGGAAAGUGGCUGCUUACCUAUCUGGCCCUUGGACGUACCCUCUCCUCUUCCAUUUGCAGGUCAUGUCUUAACGCCAUCCUUUGUGGCACUUAUAUCCUUUGUUCUUAUGACCAUUUACCUCCCCUCCUACAUCCUUGUCUGUUAUCGCCUUUAAACCCUCGUGAUAUCUAUGCCCUUGCCCUCAUGCUUACUUUGAACCUACCCUUUAAAGCCUCCUCUUUUCCAUCCCUGAUCGAGGAUAAUGCCUCACCUACUUCACCAUUGAUUGCUUCCCCUUCUUUGACACCUUGCAAUUUUUGUCUAAAAUACAUCCUUUAUUGUGUGUUUGUUCGUUAUCACCUUAACCCUUGUCAUCCCUCGAUCUUUACCUUGAUGCUUAUCUUGUACCUGCAUUUUAAGACCGCCUCUCCCAUUUCAUUUCAAGAGUGAUGUCUUACCCAUCCCGCUCUUUUUCGUUCCCUUUUCCUCCGUCGCGUUGCAAGUCUUAGCUUUUGCUCGAUAUCACCCUUACCUUCCUAAUAUCUAGAUCUUUCUAUGAUGCUUAUCCUAUGCCUACCUUUUGAAAUAUCAUAUUUCCCAUCUCGAUUUGAGAAUGGUGUUUUACCUAUCCUGACCUUGGUUGCAUUCUCUCCCUGUCGGUUCCAAUCCUUGCUUUAGCUCCAUCCUUUAUUAUGCUCAUGCCCCUAUCUUGCAUGUCUUAUUAUACCCCUUGCCUUUCAAUGGCCUUAGAGUAGUUUCCCCUUUGUAAUGAAAGACCACCAUCUAGUUAACAUUAACGUGUAGCAACGAGAUGUUUGUUGUUGUGUGCUCGUGAGUUUGUCUUUAUGUUAUGAUUGAUUUGCUUCUUUGAAAUGAGUGUUGAUGUGUUGUGGCCCUUGGUCCGCAAUGACAUCAGUUCACUAGCUGAGUGCCAUAGAGUUAGGUAGCUGGGUGCUCUCCCUUUUCUCUCUUUAAUCCAUCUAUGCUUACCUUUUCUAUCUAUACCCUUUCCUCUUGCACAUGUCCGGUUGGCAUCCUACAACCUCUCUUAAUCAGUCAAGAUCAGAGCUGGCAGCAUCUUCAUCAAGUGUGUAUCAACGCUCCUGUUAAGGGGGUUAGUCGCUAACCCCAAUGAAGACAAUGUGAUAAACAUCAACCAACAAGAUCAAAGUGGUGUAGCAGAAGUGUGUGUGGGUCCUAACCCACUGCUCCAAGAGAUCCUCAAUAAUUGCAUCGAUCGGUCUCAAGCAUCUAAAAGUCAAAGCAAACCAGUCCCCAAGUUAAGCUUGCCGAGUCAAAGUCAACUCAAGAAAGCCGUGGACAACCUACGAACCAACCUUGUUUUCUUGCUAGCUUCUUCUUGAAUCUCGGGGGCGAGAUUCCUGUUAAGGGGGUUAGAUUUGUAACACCCAGAAUUUGGGGGUAUAAAUUUUAUUUUCUAAUAUUCACCAAAUUCAGGUGUUACCCUCUCUUUUCCUUGCUUUUCUCUAAAUAAUGGAGUGUUAUUUUGUUAUAUAGUAGCGUAAGCCUACUGAAUUGAACCCUAGAGAAGGCUUGCGUGCUACUUUUCAUGUUGAAGCAUAGUUUUAUUUUCUGUCACAUUUAAUUUUAUUUAGAUUAUUUUUGGCUUGAUCUAAAAUGGAUAUAUAUAUAUGUCUACUAUGCUUGUAUAUACGAAAAG
Molecule: long non-coding RNA, 5161 nt
Organism: Zea mays
Lineage: Eukaryota; Viridiplantae; Streptophyta; Magnoliopsida; Poales; Poaceae
Exons: 3
Source: RefSeq, a predicted model, not a curated record